This 406-nucleotide ribosomal RNA is filed under the name uncultured bacterium. Its description in RNAcentral is "partial 16S ribosomal RNA". It matches the Rfam family "Bacterial small subunit ribosomal RNA", at positions 28 to 526 of the family's 1533-position model. The record is from RNAcentral.
GAUGAACGCUAGCUACAGGCUUAACACAUGCAAGUCGAGGGACCGGCGCACGGGUGAGUAACACUUAUCCAACCUGCCCUUUACUCGGGGAUAGCCUUUCGACAGAAAGAUUAAUACCCGAUAUAAAGGAUGGGGAUGCGUUCGAUUAGGUGGUUGGUGAGGUAACGGCUCACCAAGCAUUCGAUGGAUGGGGGUUCUGGGAGGAAGGUACACCACGUCGGAAAUGAGGGACGGACCAAAAGCCUAGGGGAGGCAACAGUGUGGGAUGUUGGGGAAUGGGGGCUGGCCUGAACCAGCCAAGUGGCGUGAAGGAGGAGGGGUUAUGGGUCGUAAACUUCUUUUAUAUAAGAAGAUGUAUUAUAUGAGUAAGGAUCGGCUAACUCCGUGCCAGCAGCCGCGGUAAUUC